Molecule: long non-coding RNA, 6140 nt
Filed under: Homo sapiens (human)
Lineage: Eukaryota; Metazoa; Chordata; Mammalia; Primates; Hominidae
Description: HSALNT0157490
Source: RNAcentral
ACACACACUGCCACAGCCAAGAGGAUGCUAGAGAGCCAAGAUGAUUAACUAUAAUGUGGAAGAGAGAGGGAAGAUGAAGCUAUAACUCAGAAAAUCUGACUACCAUAGAUAUUUUGUUAAUAAUAAAUAACAAUGUAUUCAUCUUUGUAGAACACAACACUAUUCAGUAAUUGUAAGAAAUGUGCUAUACCAAAGAAGGAUACUCACAGUAGAAACAGCUGAAUGUGAGAUUCACGGAAACUCUCUGUCCUUUCACCUUUUUGGUAAAUGUAAGACUGUCCUACAUUAGGAAGUGUAUUUAGGAAGGCUGUGUUGGAGUUGUGGGCUUAGAGGUGGCAGGUGUGAGAGACCUGGAGAAAGGCUGGAAGCUGACAGGAGAAUUGUGCAGGGGUCGGGGGCUGAGAAAACAUAUCAAUUACUUUUUUUUUCUUUUUUUGAGAUGGAGUCUUGCUCUGUCGCCAGGCUGGAGUGCAGUGGCACCAUCUCGGCUCACUGCAACCUCCGCCUCCUGGGCUCAAGCAGUUCUCCUGCCUAAGCCUCCCAAGUAGCUGGGACUACAGGCGUGCGCCACCACGCCCAGCUAUUUUUUUGUGUGUGUGUUUUUAGUAGAGACGGGGUUUCUCCAUGUUGGCCAGGCUGGUCUCGAUCCCUUGACCUCAGGUGAUCCACCCGCCUCGGCCUCCCAAUGUGCUAGAAUUACGGGCAUGAGCCACCACACCCGGCCAGUAAGUUUUUAAAAGUAAGGAAUGGAUUUGAUUUUUUCAAUCGUGUUUAUUUCAUCUUAAAUAUGUGCAUUGAAACAAGUUUUUGAGGAUUAGAAAAUCCAAGAUGGAUUUUCAUCCAUAGAACAGCCCAGGGUGGGAACUCUUUUGGAUGCUGAGAAUAUACUCGCCCCAAAGGGAAGUGGCUCUGAGCCACGAGCACACACCUGGCGUUAAUUCCACUCACCGACCCCUUGGUUCCCUGCUGCAGAGAGAUGAUUUAAGGUUCCUGGAAGGUCACAGAGGUCUGUUCUUUUGCACCCUAUCAGCAGACAGCUUGCCUCCUUAAACUAUUCGAAUAAGUAGAAGAUGAUGGAAACAGGGAAAGGGGUAUAUGUUUAUCUGAAAGUCAUUGGUGUCCCUACUCAAAGUCUUAGUGGCAUCAAAGCAGACCUGUGUUUCCUAGAAUAUCACUCAAAAUUGCCAAAUCAACCUUUAACAAAAUGCCAAAGUUUGUUCCUCUAGAUACAGAAUGUUGUAGGGUCUCCCUUAGUCAAUUAACAUUGUUUUAUCUGUCAGUUAUCACUGAUUCUGAGUUGAUGAGCACAUUCUUGCAGUCUCAUUUCUGCUUAUCAUCGCAUACUCUUGUUGAAUUAUUCUGAACUCACACGCAUUUUGAAAGGCAAGACACAUUGAUUUCCUCAUUAUGUCAGGAAAUGGCGAGUUAAGCAAAUUUCUAAACGCUUUCAAACACCAAGGUCUGUUCAGAAGUGAUAAGACAAGACACUGCGUGGAAGGUGGUGAGUUUUUGUAUAGAAACAGUCCUCAGCGGAAGCAUUUUUGUCCUGGAAAUGUGUCCUCUCUCCAUAACAUAGUAGGAGGGACUGGAUGAGGAGACAAUUUAAGGGCUAAUUUGCUUCUAACAUUUCUUAGCAUUUUCACACUGUGAAAGAUGUGGGGAGAGGGCUUCCUGCUUCAUUGUUUUACAAUUGUUUUCUCCGCACAAUUUUUCUAACCUCCUUAUAAAGAUUACUGCAAUACGAAACAAAUUAGGCCCAUUAACCACAGAUGCAUGAUGACAAAAGCAAAAGUCACAUCAGGAUUUUUAAUCCACUAUUAAAUAUAUAAGGUGCUGAAAAUGUAAAAACUAGUCAUUGCUUAAAACCUGAAGAAUAGGAGAUUGCCAAGGAAGAAAAGAUGAUAGUUUGACUCGAAAGGUUUCCACAGGCCACUGCCAGACAUUAAAUCACACAAGGGCACUUUACCGAACAGGAAUGACAGAAGUUGGUAAGAAAAAAAAUAAGGAGAAUAAUAACAGUAUCUUGGAAAAGUAUAAAUUAAAAGGGCAGCCACCGGCUAUCUGAAAGGUCAGAGGAAUAAAAGAGGGUCUUCUGAGAAUCACUGGUUUCAGAGCGGUAAGUGGAAUUCUCCACAGCACAGGAAGUGGAAGGAUUUUCAUUCACGUUUGAAGGUUCUUUUGACAUUUUCAUUAACUGCAAAAAACACAAAUAACCUAAUCUAUACUGAUUUGAUUAAUAAGUAGGAGAACACAGUACAUUAAAUGUUCAUUUAGAUGUUACAAUUAAGCAGUACACAAAACAUUGAUUUUAUUGCAUCCUGGUGCUUUAAAAAAAAUUCUGUAAGUUUGUAAAUGAGCAGGGACCAUGGUCACUCACUUAUAUUUCUCCUGAGUCAGAAAAUAGUGAAAACACCGAUAAAGGAAGGCAGUGAGUUCCUAAAGAAUUUUACAAGGUUUUAAUUCAAUUUAACUUAAUAACUCUGACUUAAUGAUAGAGUCAAUAUUCUCCUACCUAAAUACAAGAGCUUGGACUCGAUGACUUCACAGUAGUGUUUGUUCUGUUGUUUCAACCUAAGCCUGUGAUACCAGGUCCAGGACCAUCAUUUCGCCCUCUAUUUUCUAAUUAAUGUAGUGCAACAAUCAAGAAGUACAGGAAAGAUAAACAACCUGAGAAAUUCCACUCACUGUCAUUGGUACUGAAAUCCACAUUGCAAGGGUAGAGAGAGAUUUGUGCAAGGUGCAGGGAUGAGUAGCAAUGGCAGCAUUAUACUUGUUUAUGGGAAGGACGGGGGGCAAUGGAAAAGCAAGCCAAUAAAUCUAACAUGUAUUCAAGCAUCUGGCUAAGGACCAGUCCAGGGCAAAAGAAAGAGAGAUGGGCAGAGCACGUGACACUCGCAUAGUCUCUUCACACAUCUUAUCAGAUUGUGACUCAAUUGCUGUAGUAAUCCCUCAUCCACAGUUGACGAAAAAGAUGAACAGAGGGUUAAACGCAUUAACCAAGCUUGCAUAGUCAGUAACCUUACAGCUAAGACUCAAACCCAGGUUUUCUGACUCUGAAUUCAAAAACUCACAGACCAAUGCCAGGGUCAACCAGAUCUACAUGUGAUUUUAAUGGGUUAUUUUUAGGACAUCAUAAGGAAUUCGGUAAGAAAUUUUAUUCUGAGAUUUGGAAAAUCAAGCCCUACCACAGUUUAAACACAAUGGUCACAAUUUAAAUAUAUUUUAAAAUUCAUGUGUUCCAGUUUAGGGCUUUGUUUUCAAUCAUUUUUUCUUAAUUUUUGAUUUAAAACAACCUGUCUAAAGUUAAUGGAACUCCUUAUUCUGUGCCUUAAAUAAGAUGGGAGUUCCCUGAGAAAAGAAAUGGAAGUUCUUAGCCCGGCAGCUCCGUUCAAUACCGUGGAAGUCACGUGGAUUCCAACACCCGCGGUCUUUCCCUUGGCUUUCAGGUGUAUUUCUCCUCUAAGGAUAGAUUAGAACAAAAGUCAUAGGAAAGGAAAUUUAAAUUUUUCUGCAGACUGAGCUAAGCCAAAAAAAUGUGUGACAUGCUCUUGUACAUUUUUCCCUUCUCUAAGGUAACUUGUAAAGGACCCUAUUUUGUCAGAUCACCUAUAUGUAUUUCAACAUUCCGUGAUAUUGCCUUGUCCUUCUUCAUAAGCUUAUAGGAAUCCUUGAAAGUGGAAUGCGUGAUGUCCAUCAGUGACUUCAGGGUUUGUGGAGCAAACGCUAUGGUAGCACCGGGAAGAACAGUGGGUGAGAGGUGACCCCAAAGUUCAGGAAUAUUGCUUCUGACCCCACUUCCUCAGCUAGCACGUCUGGUGUGUCACAGCAGAGUCCAGCAAAGGUAACCAACAACAAAGGGAAAACUAGACACAGUUGCCUGGAAUAAAUACGAAAGGUAAGAACAAACAAAAUCUGUAGCUGCUUGUCUGUUUAACAGUAUAAGCCAAUGAGGGAUCGUAAACUCAGGGAACCACCUCCAGUGUACACACGUUCAGACGCACACAGGCUUACACACACAAACACACAGGCUCAGACACACAUUUGCUCAAACACACACACGCUCAAACACACACACUCAAACACACACAUGCUCAAACACACACAAUAAACACACAGGCUCAGACACACACCUGCACAAACACACACACAAACACACACCUGCUCAAACACACGCACACUCAAACACACAGGCUCAAACACACGCCCAAAUAUACAUACCCACCCAAGCUCAAACACACUCACACACUAAAACACACAGGCUCCCACACACACACACAAACACACAGUAAAAUACACAGGCUCAAACACAAACACUCUCUCACACACACUAAAACACACAGGCUCAAACACACACACACUCUCUCUCAAACGUAUACACCCUCAAACGCACUGGAGCUACGUUAUUUGAGCAAGCAUUUUAGGCCCCAGACCAUGAUUUAAGUAUAAAUUCAGUGCCUUCUUUUCUGCAUUAUGCUCAUUUCAACGUAAUAUAAUCUUUACUUAUUUCAAAUACAAAAAAAAUCACUCUUCUCUAGAACUAAAGGAAACACAAAGUACAAUCGCCCCACUCUUCAUGUAACGCUGUGAAAGAAUCCUGCUCAUCAGAACGAAUUCUAACGGGUCGCUGAAUGUGAAGCUCACGUCACCAACAAAGCGCGGUUUCCUCCCUCGCCAUCCUUCCUCAUGGUCGCGCACCCGGUUCACCUCACCAACAAAGCGCGGUUUCCUCCCUCGCCCUUCUUCCUCGGGAUCGUGCACGCGGUUCACGUCACCAACAAAGCGCGGUUUCCUCCCUCGCCAGACUUCCUCAUGGUCGCGCACCCGUUUCACCUCAACAACAAAGCGCGGUUUCCUCCCUCGCCAUCCUUCCUCGUGGUCGCGCACCCGGUUGGAUUUCACAGUCAUGGAAGUUCUGCUUUAAAAUCCGUUUCUGAAGAAGUGUUAAUGGUAUUGUAUCUCACCAUAUCUUUUUUCUUCUUUAUAUGACACUGGUUUUUAAAUUAUAACUCCUGGUGUAUAAUGAGAUAAAUUCACCAAAGCCUGGUUCGUGCCCCACAAUGCCUUCGUCACUUGGGCAACUGAGCCUUCUGUUAAGCAGGGAGCUCGCAAGCCAGCUCUUUCCGUGUUGCCUGUGUUACGUCCUGAGAAAGGCUUAUAUACGUGUGGUCCUUAAUCAGUGGUGAAGUAAUAAUGAAAAAGAAGUGCCCAUUACGAAGCACCUUCUAUGUGGUAUGACAUAGUAUUUCACCACCCUCAAUUGGCCAAUGUUUCUGAAAAAUAAAAAAUAUUAUAUGUAUUUUACUAAUAAGGAAUCUAAGAAUCUGCGACUAGAAAUCAAGUGUCCUGGUUGGACCCUUUCCACGUUGUGCAAAGGGUUUUGGUGAGGGCUGAAUGCUUCGUGGGCUCUUUCUGCUUAACCAUACCCUAUGUAUUAAAAGAAAAACAGUGGUCUUGCCUCAGAAUGGUAAUUUUCAAAUAUUUUCAGUAAUUGAAACUUUUGCCUUUUAUUAAUGUAAACAGAAUGAAAUUUUUUUAAAUGAGUAUAUAUUUUGGAAAGGAUCCUUACUCAGAGACCCUGCUUCAAUAAUUUUAGAGAAACUUGGGUUUUCAAUGCCAAAAAGAAGAAAAAGAAAGACAAGCUUAAGAAUACUGUCAGACUAAUGCAUUUGCCUGAUGUGUGUGUAUGUAUAAACACGCGCAUAUAUAAUUUGCCUAACUACCAACAAAAUCUUUAGAGGUGAAGAUAGAAUGAUGGGUUUCAAAAUUUCAUGAUACCUAAAAUGCCUUCCUAAUUUUUUGUUUUUUAUUAGUUUUUUUUUCAACUACAAAAGAUCUCAAUCAUGAUAAACUGCUUGCUAGACCUGGUUUUCUGUCGUUGUCACCUAUAAGCAAGACACAUAAAACCCUGUUAAAAAAGCAUUGGAAAACAAAUAUCUAAAUAAACAAUAGGUAAAUGCUAUCUGAAGGUCUGUAUGUCAGUGGUUAUAUGAAGGUGAUUAGAAUCACUUCAUUAAAAUAUUUUUAUACAUUUGGGAAAACAAAUAAAAACCAAAUAUGCCUGGGAAAAUGUUUCUUGAUGCAUGCCGCAAAAUAUUUAUUUGCCCAGAAUAUUUAUAUGGAUGAUCUGAGAAAUAAAUAUG